Molecule: ribosomal RNA, 596 nt
Filed under: uncultured bacterium
Lineage: Bacteria
Description: bacterial SSU rRNA
Rfam family: Bacterial small subunit ribosomal RNA (bases 1-522)
Source: RNAcentral
CCUACGGGAGGCAGCAGUGGGGAAUCUUGCGCAAUGGGCGAAAGCCUGACGCAGCAACGCCGCGUGCGGGAUGACGGCCUUCGGGUUGUAAACCGCUUUCAGCAGGGACGAAAAUGACGGUACCUGCAGAAGAAGCCCCGGCUAACUACGUGCCAGCAGCCGCGGUAAUACGUAGGGGGCAAGCGUUGUCCGGAUUUAUUGGGCGUAAAGAGCUCGUAGGCGGUUCCGUAAGUCGUGAAGUCAAAUCUCUGGGCUCAACCCCAGAAUCGCUUCCGAUACUGCGGUGACUGGAGUCCGGUAGGGGAGUGUGGAAUUCCUGGUGUAGCGGUGAAAUGCGCAGAUAUCAGGAGGAACACCAACAGCGAAGGCAGCACUCUGGGCCGGUACUGACGCUGAGGAGCGAAAGCGUGGGGAGCGAACAGGAUUAGAUACCCUGGUAGUCCACGCCGUAAACGUUGGGCACUAGGUGUGGGGAGGAAUCAACCCUUUCCGCGCCGUAGCUAACGCAUUAAGUGCCCCGCCUGGGGAGGUACGGCGCGAGACGAACUACAAGAGUAGUAGCGCGNGAGACGCGACGACGACGACGACGAGGAGAG